GACGAACGCUGGCGGCGUGCUUAACACAUGCAAGUCGAACGGUAAGGCUCCAGCUUGCUGGGGUACACGAGUGGCGAACGGGUGAGUAACACGUGGGUGACCUGCCCUGCACUUCGGGAUAAGCCUGGGAAACUGGGUCUAAUACCGGAUAGGACCGCACCGUGAGGGUGUGGUGGAAAGUUUUUUCGGUGUGGGAUGGGCCCGCGGCCUAUCAGCUUGUUGGUGGGGUAAUGGCCUACCAAGGCGGCGACGGGUAGCCGGCCUGAGAGGGUGGACGGCCACAUUGGGACUGAGACACGGCACAGACUCCUACGGGAGGCAGCAGUGGGGAAUAUUGCACAAUGGGCGGAAGCCUGAUGCAGCGACGCCGCGUGGGGGAUGACGGCCUUCGGGUUGUAAACUCCUUUCACCAUCGACGAAGGGUUUCUGACGGUAGAUGGAGAAGAAGCACCGGCUAACUACG
This 463-nucleotide ribosomal RNA is filed under the name uncultured bacterium. RNAcentral describes it as "partial 16S ribosomal RNA". It matches the Rfam family "Bacterial small subunit ribosomal RNA", at positions 28 to 505 of the family's 1533-position model. The record is from RNAcentral.